AUUAAUUCAAGGGAUAUGUCCAAUCCGAACAGUCGUGUCUCUUCUUUGUGUCUAUUGUCAACAGGCACCUGUUCUCGAGGUUUGCAUCCGAACAGACACUUCUUUUUCGUCACCUCUUUCAGAUGUAUAUAUACUUCAGAAUCAAUAGAAAAAGGACUGCUGGUCCAUUCACUUUCAUUCAAUCUCGUUUUACUCUAACACGUUAUCAGCACGCUCUAUAUCUGAGCGAUUUCGAGAUCGAGAAGAACACAAAGAAAGAAAAACAGGCAAAAGGUAAGAAGAAAACCAGUCGCCCAUGGCGUUGGAUUCCGCAGGACGCAGCCGCCCGCGCCGCGCUCCUCGCGAG
Molecule: long non-coding RNA, 346 nt
Filed under: Hordeum vulgare
Lineage: Eukaryota; Viridiplantae; Streptophyta; Magnoliopsida; Poales; Poaceae
Description: long non-coding RNA (HVUL_LNC008841)
Source: RNAcentral